CCUACGCGUGGCAGCAGUGGGGAAUUUUGGACAAUGGGGGCAAGCGUAAUCCAGCAAUGCCGAUGCAGCAUGAAGGCCUUAGGGUUGUAAAAUGAAAUGUCGGAAUGAAGAGUAGGGUUAGUACCAAAGGAAUGACGUACGAAGAGAGCCGUCGCC
Molecule: ribosomal RNA, 156 nt
Filed under: uncultured bacterium
Lineage: Bacteria
Description: partial 16S ribosomal RNA
Source: RNAcentral